GUGCUUACUUCAGCAGCACAUACACUAAAACUGGAAGGAUGCAGAGAAGAUCAACAUGGCCCUUGUGCAAAGAUGACAUGCAAAUCUGUGAAAUGUUCCAUAUUUUU
Molecule: small nuclear RNA, 107 nt
Organism: Dipodomys ordii (Ord's kangaroo rat)
Lineage: Eukaryota; Metazoa; Chordata; Mammalia; Rodentia; Heteromyidae
Source: Ensembl